ACGUAGGGUGCAAGCAUUAAUCGGAUUUAUUGGGCGUAAAGGGCGCGUAGGCGGCCAACUCAGUCGGACGUGAAAUCCCCUGGCUCAACCAGGGAACUGCGUCCGAUACUGGCUGGCUUGAAUCCGGGAGAGGGAUGUGGAAUUCCAGGUGUAGCGGUGAAAUGCGUAGAUAUCUGGAGGAACACCGGUGGCGAAGGCGGCAUCCUGGACCGGUAUUGACGCUGAGGCGCGAAAGCCAGGGGAGCAAACGGGA
This 253-nucleotide ribosomal RNA is filed under the name uncultured prokaryote. RNAcentral's name for it is "partial 16S ribosomal RNA". It matches the Rfam family "Bacterial small subunit ribosomal RNA", at positions 525 to 777 of the family's 1533-position model. The record is from RNAcentral.